Salmo salar (Atlantic salmon) is the source of this 54-nucleotide non-coding RNA. NCBI's taxonomy places the organism in Eukaryota, Metazoa, Chordata, Actinopteri, Salmoniformes, Salmonidae. The record is from Rfam.
GACUCACUUUACUGUAAGUCGCUCUGGCUAAGAGUGUCUGCUAAAUGACUCAAA